CCUACGGGAGACAGCAGUGGGGAAUAUUGCGCAAUGGGCGAAAGCCUGACGCAGCGACGCCGCGUGAGGGAUGAAGGUCUUCGGAUCGUAAACCUCUGUCAGCAGGGAAGAACGGUCACUGUGCUAAUCAGCAGUGAAUUGACGGUACCUGCAAAGGAAGCACCGGCUAACUCCGUGCCAGCAGCCGCGGUAAUACGGAGGGUGCGAGCGUUAAUCGGAAUUACUGGGCGUAAAGUGCUCGUAGGCGGUAUGUCAAGUCAAGGGUGAAAUCCCCGCGCUCAACGUGGGAACUGCCUUUGAAACUGGCAAACUGGAGUGUGUGAGAGGAUAGUGGAAUUCCAGGUGUAGGAGUGAAAUGCGUAGAUAUCUGGAGGAACAUCAGUGGCGAAGGCGACUAUCUGGCACAUAACUGACGCUGAGGAGCGAAAGCGUGGGUAGCAAACAGGAUUAGAUACCCUUGUAGUC
RNAcentral lists this ribosomal RNA (465 nucleotides) under uncultured bacterium. Its description in RNAcentral is "partial 16S ribosomal RNA". It matches the Rfam family "Bacterial small subunit ribosomal RNA", at positions 338 to 795 of the family's 1533-position model. The record is from RNAcentral.